CCUACGGGAGGCAGCAGUGAGGAAUAUUGGUCAAUGGACGGAAGUCUGAACCAGCCAUGCCGCGUGCAGGAAGACGGCUCUAUGAGUUGUAAACUGCUUUUGUACAAGGGUAAACCUGAAUACGUGUAUUCAGCUGAAAGUACUGUACGAAUAAGGAUCGGCUAACUCCGUGCCAGCAGCCGCGGUAAUACGGAGGAUCCAAGCGUUAUCCGGAUUUAUUGGGUUUAAAGGGUGCGUAGGCGGAUUGAUAAGUUAGAUGUGAAAUGUCCGAGCUUAACUCGGGAACUGCCUCUGAUACUGGUGGUCUAGAGAGUAGAUGCGGUAGGCGGAAUGUAUGGUGUAGCGGUGAAAUGCUUAGAGAUCAUACAGAACACCGAUUGCGAAGGCAGCUUACCAAUCUAUAUCUGACGUUGAGGCACGAAAGCGUGGGGAGCAAACAGGAUUAGAUACCCCAGUAGUC
RNAcentral lists this ribosomal RNA (460 nucleotides) under uncultured bacterium. RNAcentral's name for it is "partial 16S ribosomal RNA". It matches the Rfam family "Bacterial small subunit ribosomal RNA", at positions 338 to 795 of the family's 1533-position model. The record is from RNAcentral.